GAUUCCCUUAGUAACGGCGAGCGAAAAGGGAAAUGUCCAGCACCAAGUCUUGACAUCUACGGUGUUCAAGAGAUGCGGUGUUAAUGUAUCGACCCAUCGUGCACUGUUCCACAUUUCAAGUUCCUACGACCGGGACUUCCAGAGCGGGUGUAAGACCCAUAGAGAUGAGGAACCAGUGUAUGCUGAGCGAUGCAUUCUAGAGUCAGGUUGCUUGAGAGUGCAGCUUAAAGUCGGUGGUAAACUCCAUCCAAGACUAAAUAUUACAGCGAGACCGAUAGCAAACAAGUACCGUGAGGGAAAGUUGCAAAGCACUUUGAAGAGAGAGUUCAAAAGUACGUGAAACCACUGGGAGGCAAACAGAUGGAACCACGAAGUGUGCGCCUCGGUCGAUUCAAUCAUCACCACUUGUCAGUUUUUGCAGGUUAGUAUCUUUUCGRAGAUUGAUCUUCAAGAACUAUGAUGGGUGGUGUUGGUGCAUUUCGUGCCGGGGAUGCAAAGCCACGUUCAACUAGAGUUGGGACGGCUGUAAGAAAGAAUCCGAGAAAGGUGACCGUCACGUGCUUGCAUUUGACGGCGUUAUAGUCUUGGAUUGGCACCGUCGCCAAACAUACUGGUUGAUGAAAGUUCUCCAUUUGGAGUUGAACCAUGUCUGCCUGUGGCCGUUAGUCGAUGUUGCGUAAUGUUCUUUGCGUAUCUUUCGAUGCGAAAAGACUUUGCAAAGAUGUCGGCUAGUGGUUGCUUGCGUGACAUGGUGGAACUGUGGCGUGAGUAGGUCGGUCUCCAUCUGACCCGUCUUGAAACACGGACCAAGGAGCCUAUCAUAUACGCGAGUCGCUCGGUCUUGUUUAGGCCUGGGAGGCGUAAUGAAAGUAAAGUUACGAUGCUGUAAAAGGUUGCAGUAACGGCUCGCCCACUUUGUUUAUUGGCAAUAUGGCGAAGCUGGAGCGUAUACGAUGGUACCCGAAAGAUGGUGAACUAUGCCUGGGCAAGACGAAGCCAGAGGAAACUCUGGUGGAGGUCUGUAGCGAUUCUGACGUGCAAAUCGAUCGUCAGACCUGGGUAUAGGGGCGAAAGACUAAUCGAACCAUCUAGUAGCUGGUUCCCUCCGAAGUUUCCCUCAGGAUAGCAGGCGUUUAUUUUUGUGUUGCAGUCUCAUCCGGUAAAGCUAAUGAUUAGAGGUCUUGGGGUUGAAACGACCUCAACCUAUUCUCAAACUUUAAAUGGGUGAGAUGGUUGACUUUCUUGAUUGAAGCCAACCAUUUGGAUGCAAAUGCCUAGUGGGCCAUUUUUGGUAAGCAGAACUGGCGCUGUGGGAUGAACCAAACGUCGAGAUAAGGCAUCAAAUGCGUACGCUCAUCAGACCCCAUGAAAGGUGUUGGUUGCUAUAGACAGCAGGACGGUGGCCAUGGAAGUCGGAAUCC
This 1421-nucleotide ribosomal RNA is filed under the name Proctophyllodes glandarinus. Its description in RNAcentral is "eukaryotic LSU rRNA". It matches the Rfam family "Eukaryotic large subunit ribosomal RNA", at positions 73 to 1269 of the family's 3401-position model. The record is from RNAcentral. Lineage: Eukaryota; Metazoa; Arthropoda; Arachnida; Sarcoptiformes; Proctophyllodidae.